GAGUUUGAUCGUGGCUCAAGAUGAACGCUAGCUACAGGCUUAACACAUGCAAGUCGAGGGGCAUCAGGAAGAAAGCUUGCUUUCUUUGCUGGCGACCGGCGCACGGGUGAGUAACACGUAUCCAACCUGCCGUCUACUCUUGGACAGCCUUCUGAAAGGAAGAUUAAUACAAGAUGGCAUCAUGAGUCCACAUGUUCACAUGAUUAAAGGUAUUCCGGUAGACGAUGGGGAUGCGUUCCAUUAGAUAGUAGGCGGGUAACGGCCCACCUAGUCUUCGAUGGAUAGGGGUUCUGAGAGGAAGGUCCCCCACAUUGGAACUGAGACACGGUCCAAACUCCUACGGGA
This 345-nucleotide ribosomal RNA is filed under the name uncultured bacterium. RNAcentral's name for it is "bacterial SSU rRNA". It matches the Rfam family "Bacterial small subunit ribosomal RNA", at positions 9 to 346 of the family's 1533-position model. The record is from RNAcentral.